RNAcentral lists this ribosomal RNA (40 nucleotides) under Crataegus rivularis. Its description in RNAcentral is "partial 26S ribosomal RNA". Lineage: Eukaryota; Viridiplantae; Streptophyta; Magnoliopsida; Rosales; Rosaceae. The record is from RNAcentral.
CGACCCCAGGUCAGGCGGGGUUACCCGCUGAAUUUAGGCA